GGGGUGCGCGGUGCCGAUCGGUGUCCCACUAAGUUCCGCAUCGAUACGGUGACCUCCCGGGAGCGGGGGACCACCAGGUUGCCUAAGGAGGGGUGAACCGGCCCAGGUCGGAACGGAGCAGGGAUCGGAAGAGAGUC
Long non-coding RNA from Mustela erminea (ermine), 137 nucleotides. RefSeq lists it as uncharacterized. Lineage: Eukaryota; Metazoa; Chordata; Mammalia; Carnivora; Mustelidae. The record is from RefSeq and is a predicted model, not a curated record. The transcript is spliced from 3 exons.